GGGAAUGUAGAUCAAUGGCAGAGCACUGGCCUGGCGUGCCUGAGACCAUGGCUUCCAUUCCCA
Molecule: transfer RNA, 63 nt
Filed under: Ictidomys tridecemlineatus (thirteen-lined ground squirrel)
Lineage: Eukaryota; Metazoa; Chordata; Mammalia; Rodentia; Sciuridae
Description: Spermophilus tridecemlineatus (thirteen-lined ground squirrel) tRNA
Rfam family: tRNA
About the family: Transfer RNA (tRNA) molecules are approximately 80 nucleotides in length. Their secondary structure includes four short double-helical elements and three loops (D, anti-codon, and T loops).
Source: Rfam by way of RNAcentral